Molecule: long non-coding RNA, 507 nt
Organism: Mus musculus (house mouse)
Lineage: Eukaryota; Metazoa; Chordata; Mammalia; Rodentia; Muridae
Product: predicted gene, 30163
Exons: 3
Source: RefSeq, a predicted model, not a curated record
GUGACUUCCUGGUCAGUUUCAUAGCGUUGCCCACCCGCCUGACAGGUGUGAGUCAACAGGGGCAGCUCCGGUGGAAGGGCUUGGCUAGGCUGGCAGAUGAGAUACAGAGGCAGGCUUCUGACCUACAGCGAAAGGACACAGCCAAGGAAUGAGUUGUUUAUUAUUGCACGGCUGCUCUUGGCAUCCCAUCUGUCAUUGUGAGGAGUCCUCCACCCUUGGUGAACCGGGACCUGUGAGAAGCCCAGCCUGCAUUCCGAGGUGGUGUGUGAGCACAGAGGAGCCCCAGUGAAUGCCGGCUUGAGCAGGACUCAGUGGGAAGUUGGAGCGUGUGUGCUGCGCCAGAAGUAUGAGAAGGAAGAAUGAGUGUGAAAGGUAGGAUCAAGAUGAAGAUCUGCGGAUGUGACAGCGGCUUGGACCUUGUCUCCCUCAGACAUCCUUCUUCUGGAAGUCACGAAAUGCCACAGAAUCUAAGUGUUGAAUAAACGGACAAGGAAAUUGUCUUCAAUA